UUUUCCGUAGGUGAACCUGCGGAAGGAUCAUUACCGAGUUGAUUCGAGCUCCGGCUCGACUCUCCCACCCCAUGUGUACCUACCUCUGUUGCUUUGGCGGGCCGCGGUCCUCCGCACCGACCCCCGUUCGGGGGCCGGCCAGCGCCCGCCAGAGGACCACAAAACUCCAGUCAGUAAACGUCGCAGUCUGAGAAACAAGUUAAUAAACUAAAACUUUCAACAACGGAUCUCUUGGUUCUGGCAUCGAUGAAGAACGCAGCGAAAUGCGAUAAGUAAUGUGAAUUGCAGAAUUCAGUGAAUCAUCGAAUCUUUGAACGCACAUUGCGCCCCUUGGUAUUCCGAGGGGCAUGCCUGUUCGAGCGUCAUUUCAACCCUCAAGCUCUGCUUGGUAUUGGGCUCCGUCCUCCGCGGACGCGCCUCGAAGACCUCGGCGGUGGCGUCUUGCCUCAAGCGUAGUAGAAAACACCUCGCUUUGGAGCGCACGGCGUCGCCCGCCGGACGAACCUUUGAAUUUUUCUCAAGGUUGACCUCGGAUCAGGUAGGGAUACCCGCUGAACUUAAGCAUAUCAAUA
Molecule: ribosomal RNA, 572 nt
Filed under: Neofusicoccum luteum
Lineage: Eukaryota; Fungi; Ascomycota; Dothideomycetes; Botryosphaeriales; Botryosphaeriaceae
Description: eukaryotic LSU rRNA
Rfam family: 5.8S ribosomal RNA (bases 212-365)
Source: RNAcentral